GAGUAACACGUGAGUAACCUGCCUUUUACACAGGGAUAGCCUCGGGAAACCGGGAUUAAAACCUGAUGAAACUAUCAAAUCACAUGAUUAAGAAAGUUAAAACUCCGGUGGUAAAAGAUGGACUCGCGUCCCAUUAGCUAGUUGGUGAAGGUAACGGCCCACCAAGGCAACGAUGGGUAGCCGGCCUGAGAGGGUGAACGGCCACAUUGGAACUGAGAAACGGUCCAAACUCCUACGGGAGGCAGCAGUGGGGAAUAUUGCACAAUGGGGGAAACCCUGAUGCAGCGACGCCGCGUGAGCGAAGAAGGCCUUCGGGUCGUAAAGCUCUUUUAUAUGGGAAGAUAAUGACGGUACCAUAAGAAAAAG
Molecule: ribosomal RNA, 366 nt
Filed under: uncultured bacterium
Lineage: Bacteria
Description: bacterial SSU rRNA
Rfam family: Bacterial small subunit ribosomal RNA
Source: RNAcentral